UGAGUUUCCUCCAGUUUUUGGUACGCGAGAGCCCCCCGCAGCCGCAUCCCUCUUCUCGCGCUUCUUCCUCCCCACGACCCCACCUCGCCCCGCGCCGCCAUCUCCGCCUCCUCUCUCACGUCCUCCCUGCCGCCAUGGCCUAGCCCACCCUCGUCAUCGACCUUCCCAAGCCCACUCUCUCUCGAGGGUGCUGCUGGUUGCAAUCUGGACGAAGAAAAAGAGACCCUGGAGAAGUUAGAGCGUCCUGGUGGUGGCUAGAUCGAUGCGGUCGACGACGAGUGCCAGUGAGCGACGGGGAGGCCCCUACCUCUCCGCACCUUCUCCCAGGUUCCCGAUCUGGAGCGGGUGGGACGGACACCGGCGAGGCCAGCCUCCCCUUGACACGAAGCUGGAGCAUACUUGGUACAUGAGCCUUGCCGUGAGUGGUCGUGCACGUGCAACGGUGACCUCGACGAGCAGGGCAAUGUCCAGACACGAGUAAGGCACCAAAGAUGACUGGAAGCACUCAAAAAAGUUUACCACGCUGGAGCUAUGUCAGGUUGUAUGAGGGCAGUUAAUGAAUAUACUUGCGACCCUUUUACUCUCAGGUAAAUCACUAAUUAUUACAUGCUCUUUCGACCCUUUGUGAAGAUAGAACGGAAAUAUCAGCUUCACUCUGCAUUUCUUAUAGAUGUACCUAGGAGAAAUGCAGAAUUAAGAAGAGCUAUUUUCAGAACACCACUAUCUGUAUCUCUCUAUAUAUGCGGAACUCAGAACUCUUUUUGAAGAUGGAUGGAUGAACUCCCUUUCCAUCUCUGCUUUUUGUCAGUACAUGAUUGUGCACCUCCUAUGCCUGCUUAAUUGUGUGUUCAUUUUGUUAAUCAAGAAGCAUAUGAUUUUAUGGCUGGGUACGUUGAAAAUAUAUAAAACCUUUCUUCUUUUGGAUAAUCUGUUUCCCUUUCGCUAAUCUUUGUUACUUGCCUACACAUCUAUGCAUACUAUUCACUACUGCUACCAAUCCCAUGCUUGUUUGUUCAGAUACUUGAAUGGUGGAACAUGGCUUUUGUUCGAUGGCGAUUUUCCAUUCUUUGUAUGUGUUGCAUUCUUUUGUCCAAAAAUAGAGAUGUACUUUCUGCAAGAAGAAAAUGCUAAGUCUUUUACUAGCAAAGAUGUCGAUCUUGCACAUUUAUCUUUCUACGCACAGUCUCACUAUCAUCUUGUGUAGUUUAUUUAUAGCG
Triticum urartu is the source of this 1217-nucleotide non-coding RNA. The record is from RefSeq and is a predicted model, not a curated record. Lineage: Eukaryota; Viridiplantae; Streptophyta; Magnoliopsida; Poales; Poaceae.